Molecule: ribosomal RNA, 497 nt
Filed under: uncultured bacterium
Lineage: Bacteria
Description: partial 16S ribosomal RNA
Rfam family: Bacterial small subunit ribosomal RNA
Source: RNAcentral
GAUGAACGCUGGCGGCGUGCCUAAUACAUGCAAGUCGAGCGAACGGACGAGAAGCUUGCUUCUCUGAUGUUAGCGGAGGACGGGUGAGUAACACGUGGAUAACCUACCUAUAAGACUGGGAUAACUUCGGGAAACCGGAGCUAAUACCGGAUAAUAUUUUGCACCGCAUGGUUCAAAAGUGAAAGACGGUCUUGCUGUCACUUAUAGAUGGAUCCGCGCUGCAUUAGCUAGUUGGUAAGGUAACGGCUUACCAAGGCAACGAUGCAUAGCCGACCUGAGAGGGUGAUCGGCCACACUGGAACUGAGACACGGUCCAGACUCCUACGGGAGGCAGCAGUAGGGAAUCUUCCGCAAUGGGCGAAAGCCUGACGGAGCAACGCCGCGUGAGUUAUGAAGGUCUUCGGAUCGUAAAACUCUGUUAUUAGGGAAGAACAUAUGUGUAAGUAACUGUGCACAUCUUGACGGUACCUAAUCAGAAAGCCACGGCUAACUACGUG